CGUGAAAUUGUUGAAAGGGAAGCAGUUAUGACCAGACUUGGGCUUGGUUAAUCAUCUGGGGUUCUCCCCAGUGCACUUUUCCAGUCCAGGCCAGCAUCAGUUUUCCCCGGGGGAUAAAGGCGGCGGGAAUGUGGCUCUCUUCGGGGAGUGUUAUAGCCCACCGUGUAAUACCCUGGGGGGGACUGAGGUUCGCGCAUCUGCAAGGAUGCUGGCGUAAUGGUCAUCAACGACCCGUCUUGAAACACGG
Molecule: ribosomal RNA, 247 nt
Filed under: Fusarium sp.
Lineage: Eukaryota; Fungi; Ascomycota; Sordariomycetes; Hypocreales; Nectriaceae
Description: partial large subunit ribosomal RNA
Rfam family: Eukaryotic large subunit ribosomal RNA
Source: RNAcentral